AACGAACGCUGGCGGCAGGCCUAACACAUGCAAGUCGAGCGGACCCUUCGGGGUUAGCGGCGGACGGGUGAGUAACGCGUGGGAAUAUGCCCUUCUCUACGGAAUAGUCCUGGGAAACUGGGGGUAAUACCGUAUACGCCCUUUGGGGGAAAGAUUUAUCGGGGAAGGAUUAGCCCGCGUUGGAUUAGGUAGUUGGUGGGGUAAUGGCCUACCAAGCCGACGAUCCAUAGCUGGUUUGAGAGGAUGAUCAGCCACACUGGGACUGAGACACGGCCCAGACUCCUACGGGAGGCAGCAGUGGGGAAUCUUAGACAAUGGGGGCAACCCUGAUCUAGCCAUGCCGCGUGAGUGAUGAAGGCCUUAGGGUUGUAAAGCUCUUUCAGCUGGGAAGAUAAGGACGGUACCAGCAGAAGAAGCCCCGGCUAACUCCGU
This 432-nucleotide ribosomal RNA is filed under the name uncultured bacterium. RNAcentral describes it as "partial 16S ribosomal RNA". It matches the Rfam family "Bacterial small subunit ribosomal RNA", at positions 29 to 506 of the family's 1533-position model. The record is from RNAcentral.